UUAAAAAUAAGCUAAAUAAAGCUUUUGGGCUCAUACCUCAAAUAUAAAGGAAUGCCUUUUUUUUAAA
Molecule: transfer RNA, 67 nt
Filed under: Elymnias hypermnestra (common palmfly)
Lineage: Eukaryota; Metazoa; Arthropoda; Insecta; Lepidoptera; Nymphalidae
Description: tRNA-Met
Source: RNAcentral